This 35-nucleotide small RNA is filed under the name Bombyx mori (domestic silkworm). Its description in RNAcentral is "ovarian small RNA-14744". The record is from RNAcentral. Lineage: Eukaryota; Metazoa; Arthropoda; Insecta; Lepidoptera; Bombycidae.
CUGAAAUAAAUUCAGUCAAGUGCUUCAGCAGAAAG